GACGAACGCUGGCGGCGUGCUUAACACAUGCAAGUCGAACGGAAAGGCCCUGCUUUUGUGGGGUGCUCGAGUGGCGAAAGGGUGAGUAACAAGUGAGUAAACUGCCCUUGACUUUGGGAAAACUUCAGGAAAAUGGGGCCAAUUACGGAUAGGAGCACCUGCUGCAUGGUGGGGGUUGGAAAGUUUCGGCGGUUGGGGAUGGACUCGCGGCUUAUCAGCUUGUUGGUGGGGUAGUGGCUUACCAAGGCUUUGACGGGUAGCCGGCCUGAGAGGGUGACCGGCCACAUUGGGACUGAGAGACGGCCCAGACUCCUACGGGAGGCAGCAGUGGGGAAUAUUGCACAAUGGGCGGAAGCCUGAGGCAGCAACGCCGCGUGCGGGAUGACGGCCUUCUGGUUGUAAACCGCUUUCUCCUGUGACGAAGCGUGAGUGACGGUAAUGGGUAAAGAAGCACCGGCUAACUACGUG
This 468-nucleotide ribosomal RNA is filed under the name uncultured bacterium. RNAcentral describes it as "partial 16S ribosomal RNA". It matches the Rfam family "Bacterial small subunit ribosomal RNA", at positions 28 to 507 of the family's 1533-position model. The record is from RNAcentral.